GUGACAGUCACCUUGUUGGCCUUCUAUGUCCGGGAAGAAUUAUAGUCACUGCCCUAAAGGGCUCAGAUCCUCAGUUUGCAGAAGGCCUAUAGUUGAACAUAAAGUGAAUUUUGAACCAUUGAGAAGACAUUCCGCUUCUCUUGAGCCAGUGGUUGAACUCAUAUUCUUGGACAACCUGCUCCAGAGGGAGACCCUCUGGUAAAUGCUGACCUAAUGUGGAUUGUUGAAGCAGUGGUGUUUACUACUAGCAGUGAAAACUUCAUUGGAAUUGUUCUCAGCUCUGAAAUGCACCAUUGACUGGAGCAGUAAUAAGCCCAAUGGAGACAGGGCUGUAAGUGUGUUCCUUCUGAAUGUUAACAGCUGGAGGUCCAUACUAUCUCCAAGGAUUUGAUGGCCUUUAAAAACUAAAGAAAAACCAGAUUGCUGCUAAAAUUGAUUCAAUUCCUCACUUGAAUAAUUCCACACCUCUAGUGGACCCCUCAGUAUAUGGAUACGGAGUACAAAAACGGCCCUUGGAUGAUGGAGUAGGUAACCAGUUAGGGGCCUUGGUACAUCAAAGGACGGUAAUAACGGAAGAAUUCAAAGUGCCUGACAAAAUGGUUGGAUUUAUUAUCGGCAGGGGAGGUGAGCAGAUUUCACGGAUUCAAGCAGAAUCUGGUUGCAAAAUUCAGAUUGC
Molecule: small RNA, 676 nt
Filed under: Pan troglodytes (chimpanzee)
Lineage: Eukaryota; Metazoa; Chordata; Mammalia; Primates; Hominidae
Description: processed transcript
Source: RNAcentral